CGCCAGACAUUUCUGCGAGUUGAUCUAUUCUGAUACAGGCACGGUGGCCUUGCUCAGAGCAAGGUUACGGCUGAGUUUUGGGUUGGUGUAACUGCUGUGUGAGCGGAGGCUGUGUGAGCCAUGGGGUGAGUGGCUGUGACAGCCGUGCAUCAGGCGCAGGAGCUGCAUCACUUGUGCUAAACUAGGUUGUCCCUCAUCGCCCAAAGGCCUCACCUUGUGUGCAGUCUUCUCUUAGGAUAGAAGUGUCUGAAAGCUGUGCCUAUAUGUUUCCCCACCGUGUGGGGUAGCUACACUAGAAUGAAACAACCUUAUACCAGGCUAAUUUCCUCCAUCCUGCCUUUUAAAGUAGUUAAAGCAAUACACUUCUGUGCAUAGGCAAGACUUGACAUUCUUUUCAUGCUUGGAAGGUUUUAUUCACAGCUAUAAAGGCCAGACAUUUUAUCUUUUUUUCCUUUGUUUAAUGAAAGCCUGAGUCCCAGAGAAGAAUCUCAGCAGCUUCAGAGCUGUGCUGUGCAAGGGGACCUGAGAAACAGACGUAAUGCAUGUUAUAGAUCAGUUAGGAGUUACAUCCGAGAAAUCUUUUUUCAUUAAAAUUGGCUUGUCUUGUCUCCACAGCUCCCAGUGGCUGGCAUUUGACUGUGCAUGGCAGCUUUUUUAUUCAUGAGCUAAUACCAGAAACUGCCUCAGAGCAAAAUCUAACUGGGUGCAGCCUCAAGGCACAUCACAGAGUUCUUCCACCCGCUCCAGUUUUCCUGACGUGGCCAUCACUCCUGCACACAGAUUUGGAUCCAGCACUACCCCAGACGCAGAGCUGGUUGGAAUAAACACCUAGCUGAGGGCUGGGCCCUCCACUGCCAAAUGUGAGGUUGGCCAGCUGCAGUUGGUGGGGCCGUGGUGCUUUUCACCACUGACAGUUGUUAUGCCCAUGAGUUUGGAUCCAUUCCCUUCCCUUUUGCUUCUUGAGAAUCUGCAGCAUCCACAUUGGCUCCUGCUAUUUUGCUCUGAGACCUUGUGAGUCUGGAGGAUUGAGGGACAGUGUUGGCCAUGGAGGGAACAAGACGGAGAGCCCAGAGGAGCUGUGGGAGCUGUGGCAACAUGGGGACAGCACACCAGUGGCCUCUGUGUCCUUUCUUCUCCAACUCUCUGCCCCUGGAUUUUUACAUGCCCUAGGCUGUUGCUGUCCCCUGUGCAGUGGGCACCCUACUUCAGCUGCAGCCACUGAGAUACCAUGGCUAAAUACACCAGCAAUGGGGUUGAUAAAUCAUGGCUGCAUAAUGUCUUGAAGGACUGGCCUUCACUAGCCUCAUCGCUGCUGUUCUGUUCCCCAGCAAAACACGUGUUCUUAAUGACUUCUGGCAUUUUUGCCACCUGGUAUUUUGUCCUCUGAACACUGGGUUUUCCCCACCUCUCCCAGGAACAGGUUGGCAGCUGGGUCACCUGGGUACAACUGCUUGCAGCACUUUCCUUCUCUGACAUUUCUAUUCCCUAUCAACCACGCUGGAUCAUUAAGAUGUCUGUAACUUAGAUCAUUAAUUAUUAUUUAUGCAGAAACUCAAUUAACACUGUGAAAACUUGAAAAAUUAUGGUCCUAGCUGAAAAGUUUUCUUUUCUGGGUUCCUGACACACUUGUCAGUGAGUUGAGCAUACUCAUGUCACUUCCUUGCUGGCUGUCCAUUUGUGCUCUCCAUCUCAGUUCUUACCACCGUUAGACUCUUCGUAAGGAAGAAAUGUCA
This 1733-nucleotide long non-coding RNA is filed under the name Anas platyrhynchos platyrhynchos (common mallard). RNAcentral describes it as "lncRNA (ENSAPLG00000029799.1)". Lineage: Eukaryota; Metazoa; Chordata; Aves; Anseriformes; Anatidae. The record is from RNAcentral.